This 431-nucleotide ribosomal RNA is filed under the name uncultured bacterium. RNAcentral's name for it is "bacterial SSU rRNA". It matches the Rfam family "Bacterial small subunit ribosomal RNA", at positions 29 to 506 of the family's 1533-position model. The record is from RNAcentral.
ACGAACGCUGGCGGCAUGCCUAACACAUGCAAGUCGAACGAGACCUUCGGGUCUAGUGGCGGACGGGUGAGUAACGCGUGGGAACCUGCACUUCAGUGGGGGAUAACGACGGGAAACUGUCGCUAAUACCGCAUACGCCCUACGGGGGAAAGAUUUAUCGCUGAAGGAUGGGCCCGCGUCGGAUUAGCUAGUUGGUGAGGUAACGGCUCACCAAGGCGACGAUCCGUAGCUGGUCUAAGAGGAUGAUCAGCCACACUGGGACUGAGACACGGCCCAGACUCCUACGGGAGGCAGCAGUGGGGAAUAUUGGACAAUGGGCGAAAGCCUGAUCCAGCAAUGCCGCGUGAGUGAUGAAGGCCUUAGGGUUGUAAAGCUCUUUUACCCGGGAUGAUAAUGACAGUACCGGGAGAAUAAGCCCCGGCUAACUCCGU